UAGGGGAGGCUAGGGAUAGCAAGCCAGUAGUUAAUAUUAGGCUCUUUUCGCCGAGGGAUUGGGUUAAGGGGAGGCUAAGAAAGUCGCAUAACAAUUAAUUAAUCAAACUAAUAUUCAAGAGGAGUAGAUAAGAGAGGGCGGAUUAGAUGAAAUUGUAAACCCCCAACAACAUCCAUUCAUCCAUUGUUUUCUUUUUUUCAAUUGAAUCAACUUUAUUUUGCAUGUUAAUAUUUUUUUUCUCAAAUCCAAUUUAAUAAUU
Molecule: long non-coding RNA, 259 nt
Filed under: Vigna radiata
Lineage: Eukaryota; Viridiplantae; Streptophyta; Magnoliopsida; Fabales; Fabaceae
Description: long non-coding RNA (VRAD_LNC009036)
Source: RNAcentral